AUGAACGCUGGCGGCGUGCCUCAUACAUGCAAGUCGAGCGCACAGACGAGGAGCUUGCUCCUCUGACGUUAGCGGCGGACGGGUGAGUAACACGUGGAUAACCUACCUAUAAGACUGGGAUAACUUCGGGAAACCGGAGCUAAUACCGGAUAAUAUAUUGAACCGCAUGGUUCAAUAGUGAAAGACGGUUUUGCUGUCACUUAUAGAUGGAUCCGCGCCGCAUUAGCUAGUUGGUAAGGUAACGGCUUACCAAGGCAACGAUGCGUAGCCGACCUGAGAGGGUGAUCGGCCACACUGGAACUGAGACACGGUCCAGACUCCUACGGGAGGCAGCAGUAGGGAAUCUUCCGCAAUGGGCGAAAGCCUGACGGAGCAACGCCGCGUGAGUGAUGAAGGUCUUCGGAUCGUAAAACUCUGUUAUUAGGGAAGAACAAAUGUGUAAGUAACUAUGCACGUCUUGACGGUACCUAAUCAGAAAGCCACGGCUAACUACGUG
RNAcentral lists this ribosomal RNA (496 nucleotides) under uncultured bacterium. RNAcentral describes it as "partial 16S ribosomal RNA". It matches the Rfam family "Bacterial small subunit ribosomal RNA", at positions 29 to 507 of the family's 1533-position model. The record is from RNAcentral.